GAUGAACGCUAGCGAUAGGCUUAACACAUGCCAGUCGAGGGGCAGCAUGGUCUUAGCUUGCUAAGACUGAUGGCGACCGGCGCACGGGUGCGUAACGCGUAUGCAACUUGCCUCACAGAGGGGGAUAACCCGUCGAAAGACGGACUAAUACCGCGUACACUCUAUUUUGGGCAUCCAAGGUAGAGGAAAUGAAAUUCGCUGUGAGAUAGGCAUGCGUCCCAUUAGCUAGUUGGUGAGGUAACGGCUCACCAAGGCGACGAUGGGUAGGGGAACUGAGAGGUUGAACCCCCACACUGGUACUGAGACACGGACCAGACUCCUACGGGAGGCAGCAGUGAGGAAUAUUGGUCAAUGGGCGAGAGCCUGAACCAGCCAAGUCGCGUGAAGGAGGACUGUCUUAUGGAUUGUAAACUUCUUUUGUAGGGGAAUAAAGAGGGGCACGUGUGCCCCAGUGAAUGUACCCUACGAAUAAGCAUCGGCUAACUCCGUG
RNAcentral lists this ribosomal RNA (490 nucleotides) under uncultured bacterium. RNAcentral's name for it is "partial 16S ribosomal RNA". It matches the Rfam family "Bacterial small subunit ribosomal RNA", at positions 28 to 507 of the family's 1533-position model. The record is from RNAcentral.